GCCAAGCGCAGUGGCGCGUGACUGUAGUCCCAGCUACUCGGGAGGCUCAGGUGGGAGGAUCACUUGAGCCCAGGAGUUCUGGGCUGUAGUGCCUUAUGCCGAUCAGGUGUCCGCACUAAGUUCAGCAUCAAUAUGGUGACCUCCCGGGAGCGGGGACCACCAGGUUGCCUAAGGAGGGGUGAACCGGCCCAGGUCGGAAAUGCAGAAGGUCAAAACUCCCAUGCUGAUCAGUAGUGGGAUCGCGCCUGUGAAUAGUCACUGCACUCCAGCCUGGGCAACAUAGCGCGACCCCGUCUCU
Molecule: signal recognition particle RNA, 298 nt
Filed under: Aotus nancymaae (Ma's night monkey)
Lineage: Eukaryota; Metazoa; Chordata; Mammalia; Primates; Aotidae
Description: Metazoan signal recognition particle RNA (ENSANAG00000007126.1)
Rfam family: Metazoan signal recognition particle RNA
About the family: The signal recognition particle (SRP) is a universally conserved ribonucleoprotein. It is involved in the co-translational targeting of proteins to membranes.
Source: RNAcentral